AAUCAGAUUCGAAUCCAAUUCGAAUCAGGAGCUAAGGGUUUGCAACACCUGCUAGGAUGUUUAUCUUGCAAACAUGAUCUAAUCCAAUUAGACCCUUGAUAAGUUUCCUUAUGUGUGACCCAUUGGGUUCCAUACUUAGCCAGCAAUAGGUGUGAGUGCGAGUUGACCCAACUUGAUUAGAACUCUUCUAAUCGAUUUAAGUCCAAACUGCGCGAACCCGAACUUAACAAUUAGAAUCCUUUCUAAUUGGUGAUCGAAUUAAACUCUUUAAUUCGAUCAAACCUAUAAGACAAGAUUGACGUCUAGCAACGUGUCAUGUCUACCCGGAAAAUAUGAAAUUUGGUGGAA
Molecule: long non-coding RNA, 348 nt
Filed under: Phoenix dactylifera (date palm)
Lineage: Eukaryota; Viridiplantae; Streptophyta; Magnoliopsida; Arecales; Arecaceae
Description: long non-coding RNA (PDAC_LNC021046)
Source: RNAcentral